GGCCAAGCUGCUAAGGGUCCAUGGUGGAUGCCUGAGGCAGUCAGAAGGGAUGAAGGGCGUGGCAAGCUGCGAUAAGCCUCGGGGAGCCGCAAGCAGGCAUUGAUCCGAGGAUUCCCGAAUGGGGAAACCCGGCUGGUUAAUAGCCAGUCAUCCGCAUCAGCGGAGCUAAAACUCGGCGAAGUAAAACCUUUUAGUAGCCGAAAGGAAAAGAAACCGCAAUGGGAUUCCCUAAGUAGCGGCGAGCGAACGGGGAAGAGCCUAAACCAGUGUGGUGCCAUGGUGGUAGCCUUAGCCACACUGGGGUCGUGGGAUAGCCAGCGCAGACAGCUACCACUGUCUGGGGAAGUUACAAAACUGUCAGUUAGCAGAAGUAGCUGGAACGCUACGCCAUAGAGGGUGAAAGCCCCGUAUGCAAAAACUGACAGUCUUCCUAGCUGCUACUUCCCGAGUACCACUGCCCCCGUGAAAGGUAGUGGGAAUCAGCCCAGACCACUGGGUAAGGCUAAAUAUUCCUGACUGACCGAUAGCGCAUAGUACCGCGAGGGAAAGGUGAAAAGAACCCCUGCAAGGGGAGUGAAAGAGAACCUGAAACCAUGGAUCUACAAGCCAGUGGAAGGACUAUUAAAAAGUCCGACUGCGUGCCUCUUGGAAAAUGAGCCAGGGAGUUGUGGUAUGCGGCAAGCUUAAGCCGAUAGGCGAAGGCGUAGGGAAACCAAGUCCGAAUAGGGCGCUAUUAGUCGCAUGCUGCAGACGCGAAGCGGAACGAUCUAUCCAUGCCCAAGGUGAAGGACGGGUAACACCGUCUGGAGGCCUGAACCAAUCGGUGCUGCAACACAGUUGGAUGAGGUGUGGAUAGGGGUGAAAAGCCAAUCGCGUUCCGUGAUAGCUCGUUCUCCCCGAAAUGCAUCGACGUGCAGCGUCAAGCGUUUCCCCCGGGAGGUAGAGAUACUGAUUGGGCUAGGGCCCCGAAAGGGGUACCGAACCCAACCAAACUCCGAAUGCCCGGGAGGAUAGCUUGGCAGUGAGACUGCGGGGGAUCAGCUCCGUAGUCGAGAGGGAAACAACCCAGAUCGCCAGCUAAGGUCCCAAAGUGCAUGCUAAGUGGAGAAGGAUGUAAAGCCUCAAAGACAGCGAGGAGGUUGGCUUAGAGGCAGCCAUCCUUUAAAGAGUGCGUAACAGCUCACUCGUCGAGAGGCUUUGCGCCGAAAAUUUAACGGGGCUAAGCAUGCCACCGAAGCUGCGGGCUUGCCUUAUGGCAAGCGGUAGGGGAGCGUUCCCUGUGGGUUGAAGUCUCACCGUAAGGAGGGAUGGACUGCAGGGAAGUGAGAAUCCUGGUAUGAGUAGCAGCGAAGACAGGUGAGAAACCUGUCCGCCGGAACUCCAAGGGUUCCAAUCCAAUGUAAAUCAGGAUUGGGUUAGUCGGUACCCUAAGGUGAGGGCGAAAGCAGUAGCCGAUGGGAAGCAGGUUAAUAUUCCUGCACCAGCUGUCUGGAGACCAAGGCACGACGCAGGAGGAUAGCACCAGGGGAGAUUUGGAUUGCUCCCUUUAAGCGUCCGAGGGUGAGGAAUAGGCAAAUCCGUUCCUCAUACAAGCCUGAGGCGUGAUGAGGAGGCUAAGCCUCGUGCUUAGCCAACUGGUGUGACUUCAAACUGCCAAGAAAUAGUGUCGUGGUCGCUAGAAGGAUGGCUGACCGUACCGGAAACCGACACAGGUGGAGUGGGUUAGCAGCCUAAGGCGAUCGGGGUAACUCUCCUCAAGGAACUCGGCAAAUUGACCCCGUACCUUCGGAAUAAGGGGUGCCCACUGCAAGGUGGGUCGCAGAAACCAGGUCCAGGCGACUGUUUACCAAAAACACAGCACUGCGCAAACUCGAAAGAGGACGUAUGCGGUGUGAAACCUGCCCAGUGCCCGUAGGUUAAGGGGAGGGGUUAACGCCCCAAACCGAAGCCCGGGUAAACGGCGGCCGUAACUAUAACGGUCCUAAGGUAGCGAAAUUCCUUGUCGGGUAAGUUCCGACCUGCAUGAAUGGUCCAACGAUCUGGACGCUGUCUCGAGGAGAGUCCCGGUGAAAUUGUAGUGCCGGUCAAGAUUCCGGCUACCUGCGGCAGGACGGAAAGACCCUGUGAAGCUUUACUGUACCCUGACACUGUUUGCCUGCGCAUCCUGCGCAGGAUAGGUGGGAGCCUAAGAAGUGCCCCUUUCGGGGGGCAUGGAGGCACCGGUGAGAUACCACCCUGGAUGUGUGGGUAAACUAACCUAGCCGUGUUAUCCACGGCAGGGACAAUGUCAGGCGGGCAGUUUGACUGGGGCGGUCGCCUCCUAAAGGGUAACGGAGGCGCCCAAAGGUACCCUCAGGUGGGUCGGAAAUCCACCGUUAGAGUGCAAAGGCAUAAGGGUGCCUGACUGCGAGACUGACAAGUCGAGCAGACGCGAAAGCGGGGCUUAGUGACCCGCAUGUUCCGAGUGGAAGGGCAUGCGAUCAGCGGAUAAAAGCUACUCCGGGGAUAACAGGCUAAUCCCGCCCAAGAGCCCAUAUCGACGGCGGGGUUUGGCACCUCGAUGUCGGCUCGUCGCAUCCUGGGGCUGAAGUAGGUCCCAAGGGUUGGGCUGUUCGCCCAUUAAAGCGGCACGCGAGCUGGGUUCAGAACGUCGUGAGACAGUUCGGUCCCUAUCCGCCGCAGGCGCAGGAUACUUGAGAGGAGCCAUCCUUAGUACGAGAGGACCGGGAUGGGGCAGGCUCUGGUGUACCAGUUGUUCCCCAAGAGCAGAGCUGGGUAGCCAUCCUGCUACGGGAUAAGCGCUGAAAGCAUCUAAGCGUGAAGCCCACCUCAAGAUAAGGUAUCCCUGAAGGGCCGUGGGAGACUACCACGUUGAUAGGCUGCAGGUGGAAGCUCGGUAACGGGUGGAGCCAAGCAGUACUAAUCGCCCGUUUGGCUUGGCCUU
This is a non-coding RNA of Sulfurihydrogenibium sp. YO3AOP1, 2944 nucleotides long. NCBI's taxonomy places the organism in Bacteria, Pseudomonadati, Aquificota, Aquificia, Aquificales, Hydrogenothermaceae. The record is from Rfam.